GCCCCCAUCGUCUAGAGGCCUAGGACAACUCCUUUUCACGGAGUAAACAGGGGUUCGACUCCCCUUGGGGGUU
RNAcentral lists this transfer RNA (73 nucleotides) under Partenskyella glossopodia. RNAcentral describes it as "tRNA-Glu". It matches the Rfam family "tRNA". Rfam says of the family: Transfer RNA (tRNA) molecules are approximately 80 nucleotides in length. Their secondary structure includes four short double-helical elements and three loops (D, anti-codon, and T loops). The record is from RNAcentral. Lineage: Eukaryota; Cercozoa; Chlorarachniophyceae. RNAcentral also lists the same sequence under 1 other name.